UUGGUGUAAGCCCUAGAGGCCAAUUAUUUAUAAUUGCAUGAUACUUGUAUUGGAUAAUUUACUUAUUAAAUAAAGGCUUUUCUUUAUUAUGUUUAUGUGUUAAAUAAUAAUAGAGUCCCUAGAAUAGUAAGUUCAUUGAAUGGAACGUUAAGUGUGACUUAAUCGUGAGAAUCCAUUACACAUGAGAACACUAUUCUUAAAACAUCCGUAGUCAAGCUUUAUUGUGAAUUGGGAUAACAUCAAAACAUAAAGACUAUUAUGUU
Molecule: long non-coding RNA, 263 nt
Filed under: Trifolium pratense (red clover)
Lineage: Eukaryota; Viridiplantae; Streptophyta; Magnoliopsida; Fabales; Fabaceae
Description: long non-coding RNA (TPRA_LNC010248)
Source: RNAcentral